CGGAGAGGUAGCAUGAGAAACGGCUACCACUUCUAAGGAAGGCAGCAGGCGCGCAAAUUACCCAAUCCUGACUCAGGGAGGUAGUGACAAGAAAUAACAAUAAACCGGCUUAUGCCGGUUUAAUUGGAAUGAGUACAAUUUAAACAUCUUAACGAGGAACAAUUGGAGGGCAAGUCUGGUGCCAGCAGCCGCGGUAAUUCCAGCUCCAAUAGCGUAUACUAAAGUUGUUGCAGUUAAAAAGCUCGUAGUUGGAUUUCUGCGGGGACGGAGCGGCCGGACGCAACUUGCGUCUCGAGCUAGCGCUUUCCCCGCAUCCUGCCGCGAACCGUGCUACCAUUAGUUUGGUGGCGCUGGGGAUCGGCUCGAUUACUUUGAGAAAAAUAGAGUGUUCAAAGCAGGCCACACGCCUUGAAUAAGUUAGCAUGGAAUAAUGACUAAGGACUUUGGUUCUUUUCGUUGGUGUUCGGGACUGAAGUAAUGAUUGAUAGGGACAGUUGGGGCGGUCCGUAUUCCAAAGCGAGAGGUGAAAUUCUUAGACCUUCGGAAGACGAACAGCUGCGAAAGCGUUCCGCAAGGAUGUUCCCUUUGAUCAGGAACGAAAGUUGGGGGAUUGAAGACGAUCAGAUACCGUCGUAGUCUCAACUAUAAACUAUACCAGCUAGGGAUCGGCCAACGUUUAAUUAUUCGACUUGGUCGGCACCUUAUGAGAAAUCAAAGCAUCUGGGUUCCGGGGGGAGUAUGGUCGCAAGGCUGAAACUUAAAGGAAUUGACGGAAGGGCACCACCAGGCGUGGAGCCUGUGGCUUAAUUUGACUCAACACGGGAAAAUUUACCAGGUCCAGACAUAGGAAGGAUUGACAGAUUGAUAGCUCUCUCUUGAUUCUGUGGGUGGUGGUGCAUGGCCGUUUUUAGUCGGUGAAGUGAUUUGUCUGCUUAAUUGCGUUAACGGACGAGACCCCAGCCUGCUAAAUAGCGCGGCCGAGCUUUGCUCGGUACGAGCUUCUUAGAGGGACCAUGAUGCGCGAUAGCACAAGGAAGUUUGGGGCAACAACAGGUCUGUGAUGCCCUUAGAUGUUCUGGGCCGCACACGGGCUACACUGGCGCCUGCAACGAGCAUAUCAGCUGGCCCGAGAGGGUCUUGGCUAAUCUUUGGAACCGGCGCCGUGCUUGGGAUUGACCAUUGCAAUUGUUGGUCAUGCAACGAGGAAUGCCUUGUAAACGCGAGUCAUCAGCUCGCAUUGAAUACGUCCCUGCCCUUUGUACACACCGCCCGUCGCUCCUACCGAUGAAUGUUCCGAUGAAAUUUUCGGAGAGCGCCGGAGAACGGGGCUCUGCCCUGCAGAACUGGAGGCUCAAAGUCACUUAAAUCUGAACAUUUCGAGGAAGGAGAAGUCGUAACAAGGUAACC
This 1407-nucleotide ribosomal RNA is filed under the name uncultured Rhizaria. RNAcentral's name for it is "SSU rRNA". It matches the Rfam family "Eukaryotic small subunit ribosomal RNA", at positions 384 to 1804 of the family's 1831-position model. The record is from RNAcentral.